RNAcentral lists this unclassified non-coding RNA (187 nucleotides) under uncultured Cortinarius. Its description in RNAcentral is "sequence contains ITS2". The record is from RNAcentral. RNAcentral also lists the same sequence under 1 other name. Lineage: Eukaryota; Fungi; Basidiomycota; Agaricomycetes; Agaricales; Cortinariaceae.
AUAUAACCUCAAACCCUUCUUUUGUUUGAAGGGUUUGGAUGUGGGGGUUUGCUGGCCUCUUGAGAGGUUCAGCUCCUCUGAAAUGCAUUAGCAGAACAACCUUGCUCAUUGGUGUGAUAACUAUCUACGCUUAUGAAUGUGAGGGGCAGUUCAGCUUUCUAACCGUCCUUUGGACAAUUCAUCAUUA